This 97-nucleotide transfer RNA is filed under the name Metarhizium acridum. Its description in RNAcentral is "tRNA-Ala". It matches the Rfam family "tRNA". From Rfam's summary of the family: Transfer RNA (tRNA) molecules are approximately 80 nucleotides in length. Their secondary structure includes four short double-helical elements and three loops (D, anti-codon, and T loops). Further hydrogen bonds mediate the characteristic L-shaped molecular structure. tRNAs have two regions of fundamental functional importance: the anti-codon, which is responsible for specific mRNA codon recognition, and the 3' end, to which the tRNAs corresponding amino acid is attached (by aminoacyl-tRNA synthetases). tRNAs cope with the degeneracy of the genetic code in two manners: having more than one tRNA (with a specific anti-codon) for a particular amino acid; and 'wobble' base-pairing, i.e. permitting non-standard base-pairing at the 3rd anti-codon position. The record is from RNAcentral. Lineage: Eukaryota; Fungi; Ascomycota; Sordariomycetes; Hypocreales; Clavicipitaceae. RNAcentral also lists the same sequence under 1 other name.
GGGCGGAUGGUUUAGUGGUAUAAUACUCCCUUAGCAAGAUUCCUUCUAAUGGAUUCAGAUUUGGGAGUGGUCCGGGGUUCGAUUCCCCGUUCGUCCA